RNAcentral lists this ribosomal RNA (439 nucleotides) under uncultured bacterium. Its description in RNAcentral is "partial 16S ribosomal RNA". It matches the Rfam family "Bacterial small subunit ribosomal RNA", at positions 339 to 795 of the family's 1533-position model. The record is from RNAcentral.
CUACGGGUUGCAGCAGUGAGGAAUAUUGCACAAUGGGGGGAACCCUGAUGCAGCAACGCCGCGUGGAGGAUGACGCAUUUCGGUGUGUAAACUCCUUUUAUAUGUCAAGAAAAUGACGGUAGCAUAUGAAUAAGCACCGGCUAACUCCGUGCCAGCAGCCGCGGUAAUACGGGGGGGGCAAGCGUUGUCCGGAUUCACUGGGCGUAAAGGGUGUCUAGGUGGGCUUUCAAGUCAGAGGUGAAAUACAUCAGCUUAACUGAUGGAGCGCCUUUGAUACUGUUAGUCUUGAGUGCGGUAAGGGAGAGCGGAAUUCCUGGUGUAGCGGUGGAAUGUGUAGAUAUCAGGAAGAACACCGGUGGCGUAGGCGGCUCUCUAGACCGAUACUGACACUGAAGCACGAAAGCGUGGGGAGCGAACAGGAUUAGAUACCCCAGUAGUC